CGCUCCAACAGAGAGAAGGAAUGGCAUCGGUUGCUGCGGCAUCUCUUGAAGCUGAGUUGAGCAGGACACAGUCAGAGAUUGUUCUUGCACAGAAGAAGGAAAAAGAAGCAAGGGAGAAGAUGGUAGAGCUUCCCAAGCAACUCCAAGAGGCAUCCCAAGAGGCUGAUCGUGCAAAAUCACUAGCUCAAAUGGCGAGGGAUGAUCUGAAUAAGGCAAAGGAAGAAG
This 225-nucleotide unclassified non-coding RNA is filed under the name Hevea brasiliensis (rubber tree). The record is from RNAcentral. Lineage: Eukaryota; Viridiplantae; Streptophyta; Magnoliopsida; Malpighiales; Euphorbiaceae.